GGAAGGGGUCAGGUGUCCUCAUUUUUCAGAUAAGAAAACUGAAGCUCCCAGAGGGCAGGUAAAUGUAUUCAGAGCACAGGGCAAGUAAGAGGCAAAACUUCUGCCAGCAAGUCCAGGAUUUUUUUCACCAGAGGACAUUGCUUGGUCCCCAGACCUCAGGACCCUGUGUUUUGCCUCACUCCCACCCACAGAGCUCCUGUAUCCAGGUAUCAACUCCAACUCCCACUCCUGGAGGCCGAGGCAGGAGGAUCACUUGAGCCCAGGAGUUCGAGACCAGCCUGGGCCACAUAGUGAGACCUUGUCUCCACACAAAAAUUUUAAAAAUAGCUGGGCUUGGUGGUGGCAUGUGCCUGUAGUCCUAGCUACUCGAGAGGCUGACGUUGGAGGAUCACUUUGAGCCCAGGAGGUGGAGGCUGCAGUGAGCAGUCAUCACUGUACUCCAGCCUGGUGACAGAGCGAGACCCUAUCACCGCCCCCCCGCCCCACCAAAAAAAAACUGAGUAGACAGGUGUCCUCUUGGCAUGAUAGGUCUUAAGUCCCCUCCCAGAUCUGUGACAUUUGACAGGUGUCCUAAGUCCGCUCCCAGAUCUGUGACAUUUGACAGGUGUCUUUUCCUCUGGACCUCAGUGUCCCCAUCUGAGUGAGAAAAGGCAGUGGGGAGGUGGAUCUUCCAGUCGAAGCGGUAUAGAAGCCCGUGUGAAAAGCCUUACUCCAAGGGGCUCCAAG
Molecule: long non-coding RNA, 726 nt
Filed under: Homo sapiens (human)
Lineage: Eukaryota; Metazoa; Chordata; Mammalia; Primates; Hominidae
Description: HSALNT0382715
Source: RNAcentral